Molecule: unclassified non-coding RNA, 1542 nt
Filed under: Hevea brasiliensis (rubber tree)
Lineage: Eukaryota; Viridiplantae; Streptophyta; Magnoliopsida; Malpighiales; Euphorbiaceae
Source: RNAcentral
AGCUCUCAAGUCUCAAACUUAGAUGCCAAUUACACUAUGUUUGAGAGUUUUUGUUGAAUAUGAAAGGAAAGUAUAAUGUUUAAUAGAAAAAUAAAAGAAAUGAGAGGUUAAGUAAUUUAGCAUGUUUGGAAGUUGCAAGGGAUAGGAAAGGAUUUUAAGUAUUAAGGUUAGAAUAGUCAUAUUUAAAAAUAUUUUUCAUGUUGAGGAAGAGAUAACUCUUAUUCCCUCAAAUUUGAUGUGAGAGCAAAGUGGGGUUUGAAUGGAUAAGUAAUCCCUCAUCAUUUUUUUUCCAACUUCAUUAGACUAACAAACAAGGGAUUACUCUUAUCUCUUGACCUUUUCCUUUUGCAUCCGUCUCUGUCCUUCCAUCAAAAACUAAGUGUUGAUGACAAAAAAGAAAACAAGCAAAGAGAUUGAGUACCUUCAGUUUUCUAAGCUGAAGAAUCCUGACUAUCACUGCAAUAUUCUUAUGGUCCUUGCAAGCACUGAUGCUAGAUAUCUGUAUCAUGUCUUCAUCUGGAGAGUCUGAAUCAGUCAACAUUUUGGUUGGAUAGGGGUUGAGAAUUUCCAGAUCCUUGAUAAGAUUUCUACUGGACUUCUCUUUUAUGUUUCUUUUGUUUUUGAGUAAAAACAGUUGACUAUGGGUACAAAACUAAUUGAACAUCUGAAUAGUCUGCCCUUUAUCUCAUUAUUGUGCGUGAAUGUGAGGGCAUGUUUUGUUGUUUGUCAGCUGUUAGUAAUAGCUUGAUAACUGAUAAAUAUGUUAACUGUUUGGAAAACUACUGAUAGCUAUUGAUGUUAGUAUGCUAAAUGACCACUUGAUAUAUUUUUUCAAAUGUGAUUUGUUACAUCUUAUUAGUUUUUCUUUAAUAUAUCAUAUCAAAAAAGAGGAAAAAAAUAAAUUAUUAAAAUUUAUAAUCAAUUUUCUUUAUGUUUCUAAUAAAUAGUUAAGUUCUUUUGCCAAUAAAUAUGAAUUUUGUAGUUGACCAAGCAUUAUUUUUGACAAUCUGUAACAAUUUUACCAUAUAGUAAAUGUAUUUAAAAAAAUAAUUGUCUUUGAUAAAUUUUUUUUAUGGACUAUUUGUUCUGAAAGUUCAGAAGUUACCAACUAUAGGAAAAAGCUCAAAAUUUGAACUUUUAGAAUCAAUAGUGGUUGGGUGCUCAAAGAGCUAAGAGCUGCUAAUUUCUGCAUGUUACCAAACAUGUUGACACAAUAGUUGAGGUCAAACAGCUAUAAGUGAUCCAAAUAAUUUCUGCAUGUCACCUAAAACCUAAAACAGACGUCCAAAGUAUAUUGAUCAAAGACUAUAGAAUGUAGAGCAUGUCUCUGAGUUUAUAUGCAUAAGAGAACUAGUAGGAACUUUCUCUUGAAAUGGAGUGGAUUAUUUUAAUUUGAAGGAACAUGCAAAUAGCAGUUAUUCUUGUUAUUUUUGUUCAUACAAUGGCCGAGUCCUUGUGGUUGGCAGUAACUAUCAUUUAGAACCAGUGUUAUCAAGGCGAAAGGUUAUACUAAGGCGGCAGGGGGCCUUAUGGCCUUAGGCG